Papilio machaon (common yellow swallowtail) is the source of this 1432-nucleotide long non-coding RNA. RefSeq lists it as uncharacterized. The transcript has 3 exons. Lineage: Eukaryota; Metazoa; Arthropoda; Insecta; Lepidoptera; Papilionidae. The record is from RefSeq and is a predicted model, not a curated record.
GGUAUAUAACCGGCCAUGUUGGAAAUUUCCGUUCAUUUCAAUUUCGUCGUGGUGAAGAACGUUCGUCUGUGAAGUGUAGUGAAGUGCUGGCAGUCUGCCGCCUGUUCGGAUUCAGUCCCAUUGCGUUUCGCGUGGGUCUGCAUUCGACGGCCGCCAUCUUGUUGCCGCAUGGGGCGUGGCCGCUGCUGGCUACAAAAUGGGUUUGUAACGUCAUCGCCAUCUCUUCGUGAAGACGUGAAGUUGCGAUGCAGACGAGUUACAAGCGUAUGAGAGCUGUCUGCAGACACAGCCGCUCCCGCUGCCAAUUACGAGGUCGCCGGAUGUGGCGACAUUCGGAUCUGCCACAUGCUAAAGGUCACGCGCGCUCAGUCCCGGUUAUCAGCCCAUAGGUAAAGCUAGGGAAUUGAGCAAUCAUUUUACCAUUUAACAAUAUGUAGGCCUGUAUGCAGGCCGUCGUGUGUGCUAUUUCUUAAAUCCCAGAUGUCACAACUGCCGCUGCUGCCAGAGCAGGCUGCAGUGGGAUUGGAUACGCGUAUGCCUGCGUCAUUGUCGACUUGCUCGAGCGAGGUGUGCUUACUUGCGUAUGACGGAUGUUUAGAAUUGAUAUCGGCAUAAGAAAAUAAACUCGAAGCGAUACUUACGGUGAGUCAUUGUUAUUCAUGCAAAUGCAAGCUGAGGCUAACAAUGAUUUUCUAUAUUGAUUGUGUCCUGUUGCAAAUGUGCAAUAAUAUUAAAUCCACACAGGUUUAUCUAUUGUCUGAAACUUUAACAUGGAUUCCAGAAAAUAGUUAAUAAAGAAAAUACGAAAAAGUUUGCAGGAAUAGAAAUGUGAUACUGUUACGUUAUUACCACAACCUUUACAGGUGAAGCUAUAAGUAUAUUGAUUUUUAUUAUUUGCAACUUGCAAUUAUGAAAUGAAAUUACAUAAAUAUUUUUAAAAACCAUAAUAAUAGGAAAUAUAUUUUUUAAUCGUGACUGGGCUGAUUUAUAUCCGGGACUAAAAUAUUUGGAAUAAAUAUUGUUGAUGUAAAAGCAUAGGUAAAAUGGCCGUGGUUUAGGAUUGGACACCGGCUUAUAGUGUAAAUGGUAAGUAUCGUUGGGAAUUUUCGUUCGCGAUUAACUCAACAGUUGUUGAAAUACAAUAAAAACUGAUUUGUAUAUGUAAAUUUCACAGCUGUUACGGUGGCGGUGACUCGUGACGAAUUAAUUUAUACAUGAAAGCAACUUGCAGCCUUCGUAAAGAAGGUCGUCUACUGCACACUGCAAAAGAAUGCACUAUCACCAUAAACAGAUAAGUUCUAAAAUUAUGGAAAAUCUAGGAGCUAAAUUUAAGCUGAGUUAAAAAUUUAUGGCACACGGUUUCCAUAGGUCUUAGUUGCAUAAUCCAAUGGUAAGUGCAACAAAUAAACCAGAUUUUAGAUUUUAAUACAUA